CUCAGAACGAACGCUGGCGGCGCGUCUUAAACAUGCAAGUCGAACGAUCUGUAGCAAUACAGGGAGUGGCGGACGGGUGAGGAACACGUAGGAAUCUACCUUGAAGAGCGGGACAACUUUGGGAAACCGGGGCUAAUACCGCAUAGUACAGAGAUGUUAAAGGGCUAGCAAUAGUCGCUUCGAGAUGAGCCUGCGGUCUAUCAGCUUGUUGGUGAGGUAAUGGCUCACCAAGGCUACGACGGAUAGCCGGUCUGAGAGGAUGAUCGGCCACACUGGCACUGAGACACGGGCCAGACUCCUACGGGAGGCAGCAGUUAAGAAUCUUGCGCAAUGGGGGAAACCCUGACGCAGCGACGCCGCGUGAAGGAUGAAGGCUUUCGGGUUGUAAACUUCGGUAGACUGGGAAGAAGAAAUACGUUCGUUGAGGGCGUAUAGUGACGGUACCAGUCUGAAGCCCCGGCUAAUUACGUG
This 471-nucleotide ribosomal RNA is filed under the name uncultured bacterium. RNAcentral describes it as "bacterial SSU rRNA". It matches the Rfam family "Bacterial small subunit ribosomal RNA", at positions 23 to 507 of the family's 1533-position model. The record is from RNAcentral.